AACAAACGCUGCGGCAUGCCUAACACAUGCAAGUCGAACGAGACCUUCGGGUCUAGUGGCGCACGGGUGCGUAACGCGUGGGAAUCUGCCCUUUGCUUCGGAAUAACAGUUAGAAAUGACUGCUAAUACCGGAUGAUGUCUUCGGACCAAAGAUUUAUCGGCAAAGGAUGAGCCCGCGUAGGAUUAGGUAGUUGGUGGGGUAAAGGCCUACCAAGCCUACGAUCCUUAGCUGGUCUGAGAGGAUGAUCAGCCACACUGGGACUGAGACACGGCCCAGACUCCUACGGGAGGCAGCAGUGGGGAAUAUUGGACAAUGGGCGAAAGCCUGAUCCAGCAAUGCCGCGUGAGUGAUGAAGGCCUUCGGGUCGUAAAGCUCUUUUACCAGGGAUGAUAAUGACAGUACCUGGAGA
This 410-nucleotide ribosomal RNA is filed under the name uncultured Sphingomonadaceae bacterium. Its description in RNAcentral is "bacterial SSU rRNA". It matches the Rfam family "Bacterial small subunit ribosomal RNA", at positions 29 to 485 of the family's 1533-position model. Lineage: Bacteria; Pseudomonadati; Pseudomonadota; Alphaproteobacteria; Sphingomonadales; Sphingomonadaceae. The record is from RNAcentral.